RNAcentral lists this long non-coding RNA (1814 nucleotides) under Vigna radiata. RNAcentral describes it as "long non-coding RNA (VRAD_LNC018526)". The record is from RNAcentral. Lineage: Eukaryota; Viridiplantae; Streptophyta; Magnoliopsida; Fabales; Fabaceae.
CUGGGGCUAUAUAUAAGCCAAAAAGAUAACAGAAGAUUACAGAAUCUGAGGUAAUAAAAACAGACAACCGCCCAAGCGCCUAAGUAAAUCGCUCAACGGUUUCCCCUUUAGCCGUUGGACCGCUCAGUGGUCAGUUUUACCGCUGAGCGGUUUCCCUCUAGUCGCUUUGGAUGCUCAGUGGUCCAUUCUGACGCUCAACGGUUCUUUUGAGCCUUCUUUUCAUCCUUUUUCUUCCUCUUUCACGGGUCUAUGUCCACCUUUCUUCACUUCCAUCUUCAAUUCACCUUAAAACCCUGCAAAACAAUGUAAAAACAAGCAUAAUAUCUCUAAAACCAACUUUUUGACUCUCACAUGACUCAACUAAGAGUUUUACUUGAUUUUAAGCUCAUUCUAAGCCACAAAGGGUGUGUUUUGAUAUUAAAUUUAAGUAUGAAAAUAACGGUUUUUAGACCGUUAUCAGCCUGCAUCUCUUGCCACAUUGCAGAGCAUAUGAGGAAUGAAUCUUUACUGAAAUGCUUCAUCAAGUUAAGAACGCUUGGGGGCAAUGUUGUUCGCUAGGAAGAAAGGCCUAAGAUCAUGGACUAUUAAUGCAAGAUUCCUUUCGCCAAUGGUUCGCAUAAAUGGUUAAGACAAUCAUGUUGUCAUUCAAGUUCAUUGGCCCUUACCCAAAUUGUGAAAAGUAAUUUCACAAUGUUGAAUAGCGUGUGAAAGCAGCAGUGGCACAAUGUUAAUUGGCCCUUACCCAUUCAAGUUUGGCAUCGAGCUAAAAAGGAGACAUCAACAAUUGAUGAUUCAGAUGAAAGAGUAUGUUGUUGAACGAGGGCAAGUUACAGAGUUGGAAGAGAAGUUUCUCACAACUAGCUUCAUUUGCUAGCGGAGCUAUUGAAGACGCUCCUAAGCUAUUAGCUGAUGUUAGGUCUGCAAUGCCAUCUUUAACUUUUUUAAGCGGAUUGGGUCUUUUUUCAAUUGCUGCAAUAGCCGAUCGGAGAAAUGAAGAAUGUGAUUGCUAAGGCCCGAGUUAGUUGACCAAGACUUCCUGACUCACAUUUUGGGAACUUCUUAAUGACAAGCCACCCUACUGACUCUAUUUCCUAUUAAAUUCCAAAUUAUAUUGGGGCAAUGUUUUCACAACUUUAUAAUUUCUUACUAGAGAAUUUGAACUACCUUGUCUUUUCUUUUUCUUUUCAUUUUUAUUUUCUUUUUCUAAAUUUGUUUCAUCUAAUAAAAUUUCAAAAGAAAAAAACUAAAAAUACAGUUAAACAUCCAAGAUACCCUAAAGGACUCGAACCAGUUACCAAAUCUUGGAGAACCAAGGAGAAGUUCAAGAAAGGAUGGAAGUCGGUGUCCAAAAAUUGAAUGAGCAAAUAAGCCGAAUCCUAGAGGUCCUGAAUGCCUUACAAAGCCUUGGAGAUUAGUGUGCACCACAACCACAACAUAGAGGAGAGACCCACAAUUUCCUCUCAUAUGGGCUCUCUCCAAUAUUACACUUCACCCUCAGGAGCGGACUUGGGGUAAGUUCACACUCAAAAGGCCGAAGGUAAUGUAGUUGAAAAAUAUCAAUUUGACGUUUUCUCUUGAGACGUUUGUGUGCAUAUUGCUUGAAAACCUUCACCCUUCACUUUUCCAAAAUAAAGGAUCUUCCCCACCAAACAAUGUCAUUGCCCUCGUAACAAAGAAAACCUUAACGCUGGGGCAAAUUGGCGUGACCAAAAGUUUUCUCGCUUGCGCUAGUAGGGUGAUCCCUGAAUUCAUUGGGACAAAGAAAAAAGAACAAAAAAGAAUAAGUCCACUAGAUUGAAAACCUAAAAUGGCAG